Molecule: ribosomal RNA, 322 nt
Filed under: uncultured eukaryote
Lineage: Eukaryota
Description: partial 18S ribosomal RNA
Rfam family: Eukaryotic small subunit ribosomal RNA
Source: RNAcentral
CCCUUAGAUGUUCUGGGCCGCACGCGCGCUACACUGACGAAGUCAGCGAGCAUGUCCUACGCCGACAGGUGCGGGGAAUCUUGUCAAACUUCGUCGUGAUGGGGAUAGAUUAUUGCAAUUAUUAGUCUUGAACGAGGAAUUCCUAGUAAGCACAAGUCAUCAGCUUGUGUUGAUUACGUCCCUGCCCUUUGUACACACCGCCCGUCGCUCCUACCGAUUGAAUGUUCCGGUGAGCUCUUCGGACUGCGCGGUCUGCAGUUUCUGCGUUCCGUGCGGAAAGUUGCGCAAACCUUAACAUUUAGAGGAAGGAGAAGUCGUAACA